UGGGGAAUAUUGCACAAUGGGCGAAAGCCUGAUGCAGCAACGCCGCGUGAGUGAUGAAGGCCUUCGGGUUGUAAAGCUCUGUCUUCUGGGACGAUAAUGACGGUACCAGAGGAGGAAGCCACGGCUAACUACGUGCCCGCAGCCGCGGUAAUACGUAGGUGGCAAGCGUUGUCCGGAUUUACUGGGCGUAAAGGAUGCGUAGGCGGAUAUAUAAGUCAGAUGUGAAAUACCCGGGCUCAACGUGGGUGCUGCAUUUGAAACUGUAUAUCUAGAGUGCGGGAGAGGUAAGUGGAAUUCCUAGUGUAGCGGUGAAAUGCGUAGAGAUUAGGAAGAACACCAGUGGCUAAGGCGACUUACUGGACCGUAACUGACGCUGAGGCAUGAAAGCGUGGGGAGCAAACA
Molecule: ribosomal RNA, 402 nt
Filed under: uncultured prokaryote
Description: bacterial SSU rRNA
Rfam family: Bacterial small subunit ribosomal RNA
Source: RNAcentral